CAAUAGCGUAUAUUAAAGUUGUUGCAGUUAAAAAGCUCGUAGUUGGAUUUCUGAUCGAGACAUCAGGUCGGGUCCGAGAGGAUCAUGUACUUUGAUUUGUUUUGAUCAUCCUUGGGGAGAGCAUUUCUGGCAUUCAGUUGUCGGGAUUGGGAUCCUCAUCGUUUACUGUGAAAAAAUUAGAGUGUUCAAAGCAGGCCUCGGCCUCUGAAUACAUUAGUAUGGAAUAAUAAGAUAGGACUUUGGUGGUCUAUUUUGUUGGUUUGCACGCCAAAGUAAUGAUUAAUAGGGAUAGUUGGGGGUAUUCGUAUUCAAUUGUCAGAGGUGAAAUUCUUGGAUUUAUGGAAGACGAACUACUGCGAAAGCAUUUACCAAGGAUGUUUUCAUUAA
This 387-nucleotide ribosomal RNA is filed under the name uncultured eukaryote. Its description in RNAcentral is "partial 18S ribosomal RNA". It matches the Rfam family "Eukaryotic small subunit ribosomal RNA", at positions 592 to 976 of the family's 1831-position model. The record is from RNAcentral.